GCCUCCGUGGCGCAAUCGACCAGCGCUUUCGGCUGUUAACCGAAAGGUUGGUGGUUCGAUCCUACUCGGGGGGG
Molecule: transfer RNA, 74 nt
Filed under: Trichonephila clavata
Lineage: Eukaryota; Metazoa; Arthropoda; Arachnida; Araneae; Nephilidae
Rfam family: tRNA
About the family: Transfer RNA (tRNA) molecules are approximately 80 nucleotides in length. Their secondary structure includes four short double-helical elements and three loops (D, anti-codon, and T loops). Further hydrogen bonds mediate the characteristic L-shaped molecular structure. tRNAs have two regions of fundamental functional importance: the anti-codon, which is responsible for specific mRNA codon recognition, and the 3' end, to which the tRNAs corresponding amino acid is attached (by aminoacyl-tRNA synthetases). tRNAs cope with the degeneracy of the genetic code in two manners: having more than one tRNA (with a specific anti-codon) for a particular amino acid; and 'wobble' base-pairing, i.e. permitting non-standard base-pairing at the 3rd anti-codon position.
Source: Rfam by way of RNAcentral